CACAUGCAAGUCGAGCGGUAGAGAGAAGCUUGCUUCUCUUGAGAGCGGCGGACGGGUGAGUAAUGCCUAGGAAUCUGCCUGGUAGUGGGGGAUAACGUUCGGAAACGGACGCUAAUACCGCAUACGUCCUACGGGAGAAAGCAGGGGACCUUCGGGCCUUGCGCUAUCAGAUGAGCCUAGGUCGGAUUAGCUAGUUGGUGAGGUAAUGGCUCACCAAGGCGACGAUCCGUAACUGGUCUGAGAGGAUGAUCAGUCACACUGGAACUGAGACACGGUCCAGACUCCUACGGGAGGCAGCAGUGGGGAAUAUUGGACAAUGGGCGAAAGCCUGAUCCAGCCAUGCCGCGUGUGUGAAGAAGGUCUUCGGAUUGUAAAGCACUUUAAGUUGGGAGGAAGGGUUGUAGAUUAA
This 409-nucleotide ribosomal RNA is filed under the name Pseudomonas sp. R-41968. RNAcentral describes it as "bacterial SSU rRNA". It matches the Rfam family "Bacterial small subunit ribosomal RNA", at positions 52 to 463 of the family's 1533-position model. Lineage: Bacteria; Pseudomonadati; Pseudomonadota; Gammaproteobacteria; Pseudomonadales; Pseudomonadaceae. The record is from RNAcentral.